This 509-nucleotide ribosomal RNA is filed under the name uncultured bacterium. Its description in RNAcentral is "bacterial SSU rRNA". It matches the Rfam family "Bacterial small subunit ribosomal RNA", at positions 15 to 518 of the family's 1533-position model. The record is from RNAcentral.
GAUCCUGGCUUAGGAUGAACGCUAGCGGCAGGCUUAACACAUGCAAGUCGAGGGGCAUCGGGAGUAGCAAUACUUGCCGGCGACCGGCGCAAGGGUGCGUAACGCGUGAGCAACAUGCCCGUAUCAGGGGGAUAAUCCAUGGAAACGUGGUCUAAUACCCCAUAGUAAUUAUGUAAGGCAUCUUAUAUAAUUUAAAGCUUUGGUGGAUACGGAUUGGCUCGCGUGACAUUAGCUGGAUGGUAAGGUAACGGCUUACCAUGGCUACGAUGUCUAGGGGUUCUGAGAGGAAGGUCCCCCACACUGGAACUGAGACACGGUCCAGACUCCUACGGGAGGCAGCAGUGAGGAAUAUUGGACAAUGGAUGGAAAUCUGAUCCAGCCAUGCCGCGUGCAAGGAAGACGGCCCUAUGGGUUGUAAACUGCUUUUGUAUGGGAGCAAUAAGGGCUACGUGUAGUCCGAUGAGAGUACCAUACGAAUAAGCACCGGCUAACUCCGUGCCAGCCGCGGC